Molecule: transfer RNA, 76 nt
Filed under: Chloroflexota bacterium
Lineage: Bacteria; Bacillati; Chloroflexota
Description: Chloroflexi bacterium tRNA-Thr
Rfam family: tRNA
About the family: Transfer RNA (tRNA) molecules are approximately 80 nucleotides in length. Their secondary structure includes four short double-helical elements and three loops (D, anti-codon, and T loops). Further hydrogen bonds mediate the characteristic L-shaped molecular structure. tRNAs have two regions of fundamental functional importance: the anti-codon, which is responsible for specific mRNA codon recognition, and the 3' end, to which the tRNAs corresponding amino acid is attached (by aminoacyl-tRNA synthetases). tRNAs cope with the degeneracy of the genetic code in two manners: having more than one tRNA (with a specific anti-codon) for a particular amino acid; and 'wobble' base-pairing, i.e. permitting non-standard base-pairing at the 3rd anti-codon position.
Source: RNAcentral
GCCGACGUAGCUCAGCCGGUAGAGCAGCGGUUUCGUAAACCGCCGGUCGGCAGUUCGAGUCUGCCCGUCGGCUCCG